This is a long non-coding RNA of Capsella rubella, 1163 nucleotides long. RefSeq lists it as uncharacterized. The transcript is spliced from 3 exons. Lineage: Eukaryota; Viridiplantae; Streptophyta; Magnoliopsida; Brassicales; Brassicaceae. The record is from RefSeq and is a predicted model, not a curated record.
AAAAAAUUUGUUCUUCUCUAUUAUUCUUCUCAUCUCUCGCUCUCCCAUAAGGGCUAUUCUUCUUCUUAUAGAAAUAGAUUGAGAUUUUGAUUUAAAGCAAAAAUCGAAUGUGUUUGGAGCUACAUCUCGCCGCGGAUCUGGAUAGGGUGUUGUUAUUUCUCGUUUAUGGAUGGCGGAUUUGGAGGUAGAUCCAGCAGCGGUGGACCUUGCUAGGAACCAAUAGGAAUUGAAUCGCUUCAUCUCGGCGAAGAAGCGACGACGACGACGACGUUACCUCUUGAUAAUGUGACGACGGGCAACUCGUGACGACGGGCAACUUCUGACGACGAGGACGACGUUACCUCUUGAUAACGCCGGUGGUUUUUUCACGGCUUUGUUUAAAGGGGAUCUAUUUCACGGGCAACUCGUGACGACGAAGAGUUUCACGGAUCUUCAAGUGGUGGUUCUUUUGAGCAGAGAGUUGAGAAGAAGAAAUGCCUCUCUCGGUUUGCAAAUCCACCGGCGAUAUGCUUUCAGGAACUGAUUCCAUUUAUAAAUUGGGUGAGAAGCACUUUCAGCAUCCCGGUUCUCGGUCUUCUACUCUUUGCUUGGGUGGCCUUGUUUCCAAUCAUUCUUCUUCCAUAUUGUCCUUUUAUGUGGCUGGCUGGCCUUACAUUUUGUUAUGGAGAGGGGUUUGUAUUAUUUUUAUCAGCAGCAUCAAUAGGUGUUACUCUUCCUUGCUCACUCUCUGGCUUGAAAACUUAUUAAACUAUAGAUGAUCAACUUGGCCCUUUUCUUCCUGGUCUUUUGUGCAGGAAUUGCUGAAGCUUUCCCAAAAAGGGCAGCCAUACUUAGAGCUGCAGGUGAAGGAACAUGGUUUCAUCAGUUUCAAGUAGUCACACUAAUCCGUGUCUCUCCAUUCCCUGUCUCAUGUCUCUGUGUUUAAGGUGGGGUUAAUUCUUGCUACUUGGUUCUGGAGCUUGGGAAAACGUUUUUCUGAUGGUGAGAUCUAUGUUCAGCUGCAAGAGGGUGUAAUGUGAUGUGAUUUGAGUUUGUCACAAAGCAAUAGGAACCAUGAUUAAGUAUGCUUGUGCUCACUUUGUAUGCUUGUGCUCACUUUGUAUGCUUGUUACACAUUGUAUGUUUUGGAUCUUUAAGGGAAAAGUAUUGGUUAUUGGUAUUUA